Molecule: transfer RNA, 88 nt
Filed under: Candidatus Woesearchaeota archaeon
Lineage: Archaea; Nanobdellati; Candidatus Woesearchaeota
Description: tRNA-Gly
Rfam family: tRNA
About the family: Transfer RNA (tRNA) molecules are approximately 80 nucleotides in length. Their secondary structure includes four short double-helical elements and three loops (D, anti-codon, and T loops).
Source: RNAcentral
GCGUUAGUAGUAUAACGGCCAGAUCCUUUGGAGGCAAAUAUCUCGCCCUUCCAAGGCGAGGAUCGGGGUUCAAAUCCCCGCUAACGCA